GACAGAGGGGGCAAGCGUUGCUCGGAAUCACUGGGCGUAAAGGGCUCGUAGGUGGCCAACUAAGUCAGACGUGAAAUCCCCAGGCUCAACUUGGGAACUGCGUCUGAUACUGGAUGGCUUGAAUUCGGGAGAGGGAUGCAGAAUUCCAGGUGUAGCGGUGAAAUGCGUAGAUAUCUGGAGGAAUACCGGUGGCGAAGGCGGCCUGCUGGGCAGUAGCUGACGCUGAGGCGCGAAAGCGUGGGGAGCAAACAGG
This 253-nucleotide ribosomal RNA is filed under the name uncultured bacterium. RNAcentral describes it as "partial 16S ribosomal RNA". It matches the Rfam family "Bacterial small subunit ribosomal RNA", at positions 524 to 776 of the family's 1533-position model. The record is from RNAcentral.